This 1928-nucleotide long non-coding RNA is filed under the name Olea europaea subsp. europaea. Lineage: Eukaryota; Viridiplantae; Streptophyta; Magnoliopsida; Lamiales; Oleaceae. The record is from RNAcentral.
CAGAACCCUGAUUCUUUUCCCUUCCAAAUUCCAGCGUCUCUCUCUUGUCCUUCUCGUCUUUGAUUGAUUAUUGGCUUGUCGACUUUGUCUCUUCUCCUUCCCCUUCCAAGGUUUGAGAUUUAUUGUUAUCAAUUAUCAUGUUUUAUUUUAAACACUUUGAUUUUAUCACUGUAUUUCAUUUUAUCUUCUUAAAAUUUUAUAUUUUCCUCCAAAUUGAAAAUUCAAUUAUGAAUUGAUUUAGGGACAAGGUUAUUUUUGUUUCAUAUUCUCUUGGCUUUGAAUAUUAUGUUGAGUAUUUUUUUUAUUUUCAUAUAUAAUUUCAGAUUUUGGAAAAUUUGUUGGAUUUUGUUGUUUGUUCUUCUUCUAUAUGAUAAAGAUUAAAAGCAGGCCAAACAAGCCAGCCAUGUUGCAAAUUAGUCCCUACAAAUACGUUCGUAAGAGUAAUUGCAAUUUGCAAGUCAUGAAUGUUUUAUUUUCCUCAGACAAAGUAUGAUAUUAGUUGUGUUAAACUUGUCCAAAGUUCAAAACUUGGUGCCCGAAACUUGUUCUGUCAUGACUCAUGAUGACUUCAUUUGUAUGUUCAGUGUUCAUGAAUAAAUAUAAUCGGUAAUCAAUUUUUUACUCUACAGGGUAUACUUGUCUUCAUUUAUUAUCAACCAGUUUUCUUGUCUUCAUUUAGUCGACAGGGUAUACUUUACAGUGUUCAUGGAAGAAAAGAUAGGCAUUCAAUUCAAGAAGAGAAAAGUUUCCAAUUAUCUUGCUGACCCCCUUUCUAUGGCUUAUAGAAAUUAACAUUAAUGACUUGGUGGAAUUCAUCAUAUUUUUACUUUUUUUUUUAGAUGUUUUGUGUGAUAAUCCAUAAAGAACAUUGGUAUUUUUUCCUUUUUUGAGAUGGUUACUUGGUUAGUGUUAUGUUUUAAUUGUAUUAACAUUUAAUACUCGUCUAACUUUAAUACUUUUAUUUGCUUUUAUUCAGGAUAGAUUGCAAUAGUCAACCUUCAGAAAAUCAUUCAAUAGGUGCCGCACAAUCGAGCUGUGCAAAGACUGACCGUGCAUGAGAACACUUUUCUUCAACUCGUUAUAUUGACGGUAAAGCACGUUUCACACGUCUUUAUUGCAACAAUAGCUUUAAAGGUGGUGGAAUUAACAGAAUAAAGUAUCAUCUUGCUGGAAUUAAAAGUCAAAUAUCUCAAUGUAAGAAAGUUCCUCUUGAUGUUAGAUUUAAAUUUCAAGUUAUUCUCAGAGAUUUAUCUAAAAAGAAACAAGAUGCUACAGAGGCUCAUGAUUGUACGCUUAAGGACAAUUAUAUAGAUUUAGAAACUGGAGGAGAGGAAAUAGAAUAGGAUAUUGAAGAAAUGAAUAUAUCAUUAGAAAAGCAAAGAUAAGAAAAAGGGAAGAGGAAAGCAAGUGAGGUAUUGAAACAUAUUUUGCUCCAAAGACUACUCCUGGAUCUCAACCUAGAUUAAAGAGUGCUUUAGCUGGCAAAUAAGCAAUAAAGAGAGCCCAUAUGUCUUGGGCUAGGUGGUUUUAUGAUGCUUGCAUUCCAUUUAAUGCUUUGCAAUCACCUUACUUUCAACUUGUUUUAGAUACCACUACUGCAAUUGGUCUAGGAUUUAAAGGUCCUUCUCAUCAUUACAUUCGUGUUAAUUUGUUGACAGAUUACAAGAAAGAAUGCCAAUUGCUUGUUGACACUUAUCGAAGUCAGUGGAUAAAUAAUGGAUGCACAAUUAUGGCCGAUGGUUGGACGGAUCAAAGACAUAGAACUUUGAUUAAUUUUUUAGUAUGUUACUCUUUUGGGAUUGUAUUUAUAAAAUCUUAUGAUGCAUCGGAUGUAGUGAAAGAUGCUCAAACAUUGUGUAAUUUAUUUUUUGAGAUAGUUGAAUGGGUUGGACCUCGUAAUGUAGUUCAUAUGGUAACUGAUAAUGCAG